Molecule: ribosomal RNA, 553 nt
Filed under: uncultured fungus
Lineage: Eukaryota; Fungi
Description: eukaryotic LSU rRNA
Rfam family: 5.8S ribosomal RNA (bases 187-341)
Source: RNAcentral
AAGUCGUAACAAGGUCUCCGUUGGUGAACCAGCGGAGGGGAUCAUUACUGAGUACUACAUUCUCUACCCUUUGUGAACUAUUAUACCUGUUGCUUCGGCGGCGCCCGCAAGGGUGCCCGCCGGUCUCAUCAGAAUCUCUGUUUUCGAACCCGACGAUACUUCUGAGUGUUCUUAGCGAACUGUCAAAACUUUUAACAACGGAUCUCUUGGCUCCAGCAUCGAUGAAGAACGCAGCGAAACGCGAUAUGUAAUGUGAAUUGCAGAAUUCAGUGAAUCAUCGAAUCUUUGGAACGCACAUGGCGCCUUCCAGUAUCCUGGGAGGCAUGCCUGUCCGAGCGUCGUUUCAACCCUCGAGCCCCUGUGGCCCGGCGUUGGGGAUCUGCCACGGCAGGCCCCUAAAACCAGUGGCGGACCCGAAGGGCCCUCUCCUUUGCGCAGUAGCAUUCGCCUCGCAUCGGGAGUCCUCGGCGUCCUGCCUCUAAACCCCCCACAAGCCCGCUUCGGCGGCACCAAGGUUGACCUCGGAUCAGGUAGGAAUACCCGCUGAACUUAA